Molecule: non-coding RNA, 2268 nt
Organism: Camellia sinensis
Lineage: Eukaryota; Viridiplantae; Streptophyta; Magnoliopsida; Ericales; Theaceae
Source: RefSeq, a predicted model, not a curated record
AUUUAAUUUCCUUUUAGUGACUAAAUUUUAGUUGGCAAUUAUAAUUAAAAAUUUUAAAAAUUGAACUUCAGAUUUUAGAGGGAAAAUUAAUUGGCUACUAAUUAUUUCGUCGAAGGAAAGGCCUUUAUUUAUUAUUGGCAACUAAAAAAGUUAGUCGGGAAAGAAAAUAAACUAGGUUUAAAAAAUACACUCCCACACGCUCCAACUCUCUCAUACAUCUGUGUCUGUCUCUCACUUUGUGACUCUCUUUCUCUCUCACGCCUCUACUAUCCUCCGGCUCUCUCUCUCUCUCUCUUUCUCUCUCUCUCUCUCUUUCUUUCUCGCUUUUGUCUCCAUCGUUAACAGAGCAUCAUCGCCAUCGCACACGAGCACCACCGUCGAUCCACCAUUGGAGCAUUACCCCAGGUAUGUCUUCUCUAUUUUGCCCUCUCUCUGUCGUUCAGUCUCUAUUCCCCUAAUUCAUCCUCUAGGGUUUUCUUCUUUCGUUUGCAUAGCUUCACCCAAACCCAACCCCAAAUCGACCCAUGUUAAGGUUGAGGCAUCUGUUCAUUCAUUGUCCUUGGAUAUGGAGGAUAUGGGUUGAAUUACUAGAAUGGUGGAAUGUUCGCUGGGUUAUACCAUAAUCUUUUUCAAAUUUGUCACGCUGGGGGUUUGGGUUUAAAUUUGGGAAGCUGGAAAAGAAGAUGUGGAGGCCAUGGUUUGGUCAAUUUAGAAGGCUUGUAAUGACCUCAAGUUUAAUGGAAUUCAAGUCAGAUGGGAAUCUUUGGUUCAAAAUUGCUUUGUGGGUCAAAUAUAAGUGCAAGGAUAUGGUCUUUGCGGUGAAUGAUCUACUGUUUAACUUGGCAGCGGUGAGAGGUUUUAGGAUGUAGUUGGUGUUUGGCUUGUUCUCUUUGUUUUUUUCUAACUACUGCUCUUUCUUGUUUGUUUUUCUCUACCUACUGCUCUAACUUGACCUGUUUCGUCCAUGCUUGUAUUUGUUGUUGUCUUCUGACCCUUUUGCUCACCAUGUGUUUGACGAAAUGUUCAAAUGAAACUGGACAAUGCUCAUGUGUUUGACAUCUAUUUAUGAGGUUUGGUAGUGCCCAGAUUGAAUUUAAUUGUUUUUUUUUAAUUACCUGUUCAUGAGUUGUUAUUAGGUGCAAUUUCAAUUUGAGAUUGAAUUUCAUUUUUUUCCAGUUUUGUGAGUUGUUAUUAGGUACAAUGCUCAUGAGAUUGAAUUUCAGUUUUUUUUAAUUACUUGUUCAUGAGCUGUUAUUAGGUUCAAUUUUAGAUGAUAAAAUAACAUGCCAAUGGUUCUUCACUACAUUGUCAGUUCUUCCUGGGAAAAGCCUAGCAAUCAUGGCCCACUUGUUUCCAUAUAGCCUACGAGCAGCCAUUAGUCUAUCUUUUUCCUCUUCAGUAAAAGCUUUUCUGUUGAUCCUUGGGUCCAAUUGGUUGAACCAUCUCAGCCUACAACUCUUACCUUCAUUGAAGUGUAAAUUAAUGGCUUCAUUGAAGUGUGAUGAAGCCAUAGAUCUCUUAAAGAGCACUGAUACAACUGUUAUUUUUGGUUAGAAACUAGUGGACCCAACAAAGAUUGAUCGCUAGAUUGUCGUGAACUUUUCAGCUUGCUGUGAUAUCCAUGGCCUCGUUAGAGAUUUGAUCAAAUGUGGAGACAUGAAGGGAAUUCAAAUUGAUGCUCUGUUCGAUGUAUUUGAAGAGAGUCCACAAAAUAGGUGCCCCACCUCUUGUUAGAGUGGAAAAAAUGUUUGAAGAUAUACAAUCCAAACUUCUUGGGGCUCCUCAAUUUCUUCUCUAUCUGCUUCCAGAGAGGAAGAGUUCUGAUCUAUAUGGUCCAUGGAAAUGAAAGAAUCUUGUUGACUUUGGCAUUGUCACUCAGUGCAUUGCACCUACAAGAGUUAAUGACCAGUAUCUUACUAAUGUUCUCCUUAAGAUCAAUACGAAGGUGAGGUAAUUACUGUAUGGAGGUGUGACUUCCUCAAUGAGACAAGAAUUCCCUCAAUUUUCAGAUUAUAAGUUUGGACAUUCUGAGACAAGCAUUCCCUCAAUUUUCAGAUUACAAGUUUGGCAUUUAGAUCAAUGGCUUCAUUGUUAAAUUAAGCAAGUGUUUUAGUAAAUAAAUUUAAUUUUCCCAUCAUGUUUACACCUUCAAAAUAUUCUGUAAAUGACAUUUGAUGUAGAAUUGUGUGUACAGAGGACAUAUUUUUUGUAUGAUUAUCUGUUUGUAUGGAAUUAUUAUUUUGGGUUGGAUUAUAUUUGAUUUGUAUA